ACCACGGUAAACAACAAAAUGGCCGCUCCGUGACAACAAAGGUACAUGUUUGGGCGAUAAUUCUGCAAAAAGUAAACAAGAUACGCAACUGACAAUUUGAUACCACAAAGACAAAUGUCUCCGCUUUACAAUGAGACCAUUUUCAGCUUUCUGCGAUCAGAAUUGACUUCAAAACAUCGAUUUGAAAUUGCCCUGUCGUUCACCAUCUCCGAACUUUUUCUGGAAACCCAAGUCUAAAAUUAGACCGUAUUUUCCGAAAUCUGGGCGGUGACCUGGGUCACGUGGGGUCAAACUUGAGGUCAAACUAGGUUCAGCAAGGAGCGGGAGUAAUGGCUUUGCGCGCGAACGUAUUUCUGUGGAAUAAAAUCGUUUUCUUGUGCUUGCAGAUGGAGGGAGCUGAAAAAUCUUUAUGACAAAUUACAUCUCAGAAUGUCUGCCGUCGAAAACUACCAAGGAUGGACUGGGAUGGCAAUUACAGGAGACAAAAUCUGCAUGCAAAGAGAACUGUAUUGAUUUGAACAUCCCAAGAUGUCUCAAGUUUUACAAGUAUAUGGAAGUGGUGUGUGACAGAUUUUCCACAGCAAAGUUAUUGAGACAAAAUGAGAGCACUGUAAUGAUUUGCACAGACCAAGAUGUCUC
Long non-coding RNA from Mercenaria mercenaria, 639 nucleotides. RefSeq lists it as uncharacterized. The transcript has 3 exons. Lineage: Eukaryota; Metazoa; Mollusca; Bivalvia; Venerida; Veneridae. The record is from RefSeq and is a predicted model, not a curated record.